UGGGGAAUUUUGCACAAUGGGCGAAAGCCUGAUGCAGCAACGCCGCGUGCGGGAUGGAGGCCCUCGGGUUGUAAACCGCUUUCAGCAGGGACGAAUAUGACGGUACCUGCAGAAGGAGCCCCGGCUAACUACGUGCCAGCAGCCGCGGUAAUACGUAGGGGGCAAGCGUUAUCCGGAUUCAUUGGGCGUAAAGAGCGCGUAGGCGGACUGUUAAGUCAGAUGUGAAAACCGGGGGCUCAACCCGCGGCCUGCAUCUGAAACUGGCAGUCUUGAGUCUGGUAGAGGAGAGUGGAAUUCCUGGUGUAGCGGUGAAAUGCGCAGAUAUCAGGAGGAACACCAGUGGCGAAGGCGGCUUUCUGGGCCACGACUGACGCUGAGGCGCGAAAGCGAGGGGAGCGAACAG
Molecule: ribosomal RNA, 403 nt
Filed under: uncultured bacterium
Lineage: Bacteria
Description: bacterial SSU rRNA
Rfam family: Bacterial small subunit ribosomal RNA
Source: RNAcentral